GCACCCGUAGCUCAGCAGGAUAGAGCAACCGCCUCCUAAGCGGUAGGUCGGAGGUUCAAAUCCUCUCGGGUGCGCCA
Molecule: transfer RNA, 77 nt
Filed under: Clostridia bacterium
Lineage: Bacteria; Bacillati; Bacillota; Clostridia
Description: tRNA-Arg
Rfam family: tRNA
About the family: Transfer RNA (tRNA) molecules are approximately 80 nucleotides in length.
Source: RNAcentral